Molecule: long non-coding RNA, 1355 nt
Filed under: Trifolium pratense (red clover)
Lineage: Eukaryota; Viridiplantae; Streptophyta; Magnoliopsida; Fabales; Fabaceae
Description: long non-coding RNA (TPRA_LNC013871)
Source: RNAcentral
GUGCUCGGAUGGUGUAUGUGUUCGACACCCUCUGAUGCUCGAGCUCUAAGCUCGGCCCAGAACAGGAGCCCCCCAAGUCGUUAUGCUCGUAGGCGAGGGUAAUGACUUGAAGCUUUAUCGAUUCAUCGUGAUUUACCGAACGUACCAGAUCCGAGUUGGGCAGCUGAAUUUUCGCCGUGUCCCUGUGGUCAAAGUCAAGCUUUGGAAAGGGAAAAUCGUUUAUUCCAAGUGGUCAAUCCUAGGUUUCUGCAGCCGCCUCUCGCAUUUAUGGGAUGUCAGGUGUGGUGACUGGUCCUUUGGGUGGCAAGUUUUGCUAUAAAUACUUGCUUAUCCUUUGGCUUCCCAUAUUCUGAGUUUGAAGGCUAGUGAUGGAUAAUAGGGAUUCCAAGAAGGUUGUUGCUGAUGGCUCUGAGUCUCGAAGAGGGAAAAAGAGAGCAGAAGUUCCUAAGCCUGCACCGGCUCGUUCUCAAAAGGGGAAAGAAGCUAAGGUGAUGUUCCCUUCCUCGGAUACUUCUGAUACCUCAAGUUCCGACGAAUCGGCGGAUUUCAUUGNNNNNNNNNNNNNNNNNNNNNNNNNNNNNNNNNCCUGCCCCUGGUGAAGGAGGGUCCCAGGUUGGGAAAGAGGCUAAGAUAUGGCCAGAGGAGGUGCUGUGGACUGAUUCGGAUUCCGCGAUUAGUUCAGGUUCCGAGCACGAGGAUUAGGUGCUCGGUUCCCUUUGUAAUCCUCUUCCCUUUGUAAUGGACUAUCAUUAAUAAAAUAAUUCUCUUUUGAUUUUUCCGAGCAUAAUUUAUUUGCACUCAUGCUUUAUGUAUGCUCUUAAUUUAAUAAUGUCGCGGAUUUUCCGAAUGAUUCCGAGCGGACUUUUUGGUCGAAACCGGACUUCUUUUUCGAGCAUGUUUUUGACUUUAUGAAUUCGUCGAUGAGCGCGGUGUUCUUAUUCGGUUGCUGCGGCCUUCCCCGUAUUUUUAGCAAGGAAAUAAGGGGAAUGGGUUCCGAGGAUCUUGCAUUACCUUUUUUGGUUGCGAUUUUCUCGGGAUGUGGUGUCUUGGAUUUCGCGAGAUUUGCGCGAGCAGACGGAUGUGACUUGAAAGGACGAGUCGCUUCGUUUCCUUUCGCCACGUGUAAAGACUAUUCACAUAGCACUUGAGUGGCUAUAGCUGAGAUUUGAAUCUCGAGGUCGUUUUGAACCGUUGGAUUUUCGCGCCUUUUCGUUUAUCCUGAGAUUAAAUCUGAGCCACUUGAUCGCGAUUGAUCCGGACCGUUGGAUCGAUCCUGUGGUUCAGAUGGGAGCGGCGCGGGUUUUCUUGUACGGUCGCGUUGGCCUAUAUAUAGGAGGGAGGUUUUUUCGUUUGAA